RNAcentral lists this ribosomal RNA (460 nucleotides) under Pseudomonas sp. RNAcentral's name for it is "bacterial SSU rRNA". It matches the Rfam family "Bacterial small subunit ribosomal RNA", at positions 62 to 517 of the family's 1533-position model. The record is from RNAcentral. Lineage: Bacteria; Pseudomonadati; Pseudomonadota; Gammaproteobacteria; Pseudomonadales; Pseudomonadaceae.
UCGAGCGGUUGACGGGAGCUUGCUCCCUGAUUCAGCGGCGGACGGGUGAGUAAUGCCUAGGAAUCUGCCUAUUAGUGGGGGACAACGUUUCGAAAGGAACGCUAAUACCGCAUACGUCCUACGGGAGAAAGCAGGGGACCUUCGGGCCUUGCGCUAAUAGAUGAGCCUAGGUCGGAUUAGCUAGUUGGUGGGGUAACGGCUCACCAAGGCGACGAUCCGUAACUGGUCUGAGAGGAUGAUCAGUCACACUGGAACUGAGACACGGUCCAGACUCCUACGGGAGGCAGCAGUGGGGAAUAUUGGACAAUGGGCGAAAGCCUGAUCCAGCCAUGCCGCGUGUGUGAAGAAGGUCUUCGGAUUGUAAAGCACUUUAAGUUGGGAGGAAGGGCAGUAAGCGAAUACCUUGCUGUUUUGACGUUACCGACAGAAUAAGCACCGGCUAACUCUGUGCCAGCCGCCG